Molecule: ribosomal RNA, 442 nt
Filed under: uncultured bacterium
Lineage: Bacteria
Description: partial 16S ribosomal RNA
Rfam family: Bacterial small subunit ribosomal RNA
Source: RNAcentral
CCUACGGGAGGCUGCAGUGGGGGAUAUUGCACAAUGGAGGAAACUCUGAUGCAGCGACGCCGCGUGGGCGAAGAAGUCUUUCUGUAUGUUAAGCUCUAUCAGCAGGGAAAUAGAAUGUACCGUACCUGAGUACUAAUCUCCGGCUAAAUACGUGCCAUCAGCCGCGGUCAUACGGAGGGGGCAAGCGUUAUCCGGAUUUACUGGGUGGAAAGGGAGCGCAGGCGGUACGGCAAGCCUGAUGUGAAAGCCCGCGGCUCAACCGCGGUACUGCAGUGGGAACUACCGGGCUGGAGUGCAGGAGAGGUAGGCGGAAUUCCUAGUGUAGCGGUGAAAUGCGUAGAUAUUAGGAGGAACACCAGUGGCGAAGGCGGCCUACUGGACGGUGACUGACGCUGAGGCUCGAAAGCGUGGGGAGCAAACAGGAUUAGAUACCCCUGUAGUC